Molecule: long non-coding RNA, 328 nt
Filed under: Sorghum bicolor (sorghum)
Lineage: Eukaryota; Viridiplantae; Streptophyta; Magnoliopsida; Poales; Poaceae
Description: long non-coding RNA (SBIC_LNC011041)
Source: RNAcentral
GGGACAUUUUGUCCUCUUUUCAUUAAAGCACUUGCUCUUUUUUUCUCUCUCUUUUCAGAAGCUCAUAGUCCUCUCUUCAUAGAGAACAAAAAUAAUCUAUAACUAUAACUAUAUAUAUAUAUAUAUAUAUAUAUAUAUAUCAAAUUUGUAUGGAGCAUGGUUGUGCACUUCUAGUGUAGAAGUUGCAAGAGGGUGUAUGUGUAUGUGGUCUUAAUUAAAAAAGUAUGACAAGUUUCUCUACUUGGAUCAAUAAGGUCUAACAAAUAUCAAAACAAACAAGUGGCUCUUUUGCAGUUUCCUUAUCUAGGGAAGAUAUAAAUAUAGCUUG